This is a long non-coding RNA of Pundamilia nyererei, 438 nucleotides long. RefSeq lists it as uncharacterized. The record is from RefSeq and is a predicted model, not a curated record. The transcript has 4 exons. NCBI's taxonomy places the organism in Eukaryota, Metazoa, Chordata, Actinopteri, Cichliformes, Cichlidae.
GAUGCCACAUGGAGAUUACUGUGAGUUGAUCAAAGUACCAAUACAGCGCACUUUCUUUUUUUUCCAGAGGAAAUCCAGCUGCCAACUUGAAAACAGACCCACCCAUUUUGACACACACAUAAAGUGUCCAGUUAACAAAAGUCUAUAUACAUAGUUGGGCAAAAGGAGGAAGUCCAUCUCAGACAGACACGCCGUAUCCUUAAGAAGGAAGUCAAGUAACAAGAUCUUAACUGGGAAAAAGAUGGGAAACGAGCAGUCAGUAAACAUAGAAGAGCUAUCCAAGAAUGGGACAAUUCCUGAAAAGCAUGAGAAUGGAACCGUGAAUGGCAUCUCUAUAGAAGUCACGUCUGGCGGACUGGAGAUUAAUGGUAAAAGUGAAACUACAGUCUGCCAAAAUGGCAAGGCCCACUCUUUAAACUCUGCCAUACAAUCAACUGA